UAUCAUCUAGUCAUUGAUUCA
Non-coding RNA from Caenorhabditis elegans, 21 nucleotides. NCBI's taxonomy places the organism in Eukaryota, Metazoa, Nematoda, Chromadorea, Rhabditida, Rhabditidae. The record is from Ensembl.